ACGUUUCUGAGAUAUACGACGGUUUCUAUUUUGAACCUACGUAAUGUAAAAGGGAGUUCUAUAAAGAUAUUGGAUACCAGGCCCUCAGCGGACUUGUUAAGGCAGGGGAAGGUAGAAGAUAUCUUGCGAACACCCACCUAUCCGAGGAUAGGUGUCAAAAUAGAGACAACGAUAUCUCGGAUAUUAA
This 187-nucleotide non-coding RNA is filed under the name Clostridiales bacterium. RNAcentral describes it as "6S RNA". It matches the Rfam family "6S / SsrS RNA". From Rfam's summary of the family: E. coli 6S RNA was the first non coding RNA to be sequenced, but its function was unknown until recently. Lineage: Bacteria; Bacillati; Bacillota; Clostridia; Eubacteriales. The record is from RNAcentral.